AAUUCAGUUCCAUGCGGCGGUGUCCUGCGAACCCCGCCAGGCCCGGAAGGGAGCAACGGUAAGCAGUGAACAUCGGGCGCCAUGGAUAAGCUGGGUUUUGU
RNAcentral lists this signal recognition particle RNA (101 nucleotides) under Acetomicrobium hydrogeniformans ATCC BAA-1850. RNAcentral's name for it is "Bacterial signal recognition particle RNA". It matches the Rfam family "Bacterial small signal recognition particle RNA". From Rfam's summary of the family: The signal recognition particle (SRP) is a universally conserved ribonucleoprotein involved in the co-translational targeting of proteins to membranes. Archaeal SRP consists of a 7S RNA and homologues of the eukaryotic SRP19 and SRP54 proteins. The record is from RNAcentral. Lineage: Bacteria; Thermotogati; Synergistota; Synergistia; Synergistales; Acetomicrobiaceae.